RNAcentral lists this long non-coding RNA (629 nucleotides) under Anas platyrhynchos platyrhynchos (common mallard). Its description in RNAcentral is "lncRNA (ENSAPLG00000017905.1)". Lineage: Eukaryota; Metazoa; Chordata; Aves; Anseriformes; Anatidae. The record is from RNAcentral.
UUUGCACCUGUCAUUAGUAUGAUUCCCUUUAAAGCCACUUUUAAAGUAAUAUGAAAUAUCAGUAGCCAUUUCUAAAGUUUUUGGUAUAUUUUCAACUAUUUUGUCUUGCAGUAAGUCCACAGACUCGGCUGUAAUGAGAAUCCUAGUGUGCCAAGAUUUUUUGACAUAACUCUGCCCAGAUAGACGGCAUCUGCUCUGAAGACAUUGCCUUACAUUCUGAGGCUCAGAAUGGCAGUGAACUUCCAUGAAGACAAGGAGUAAAAGGUGCUGCCAGUCAGAAUAUGCUGAGAUGAAAAAAGCCCAUAGCAAGCUGAGCAUCCUCAGGAACCCUCCUGGUGGAGGAACCAGCACAGCUUCCCUUGAUGAUAAGCAACCUCAGCCUAAUGCCAAGUCUCUCACCAUCAUUCAUUAAUGUUACUGUUUAUUUGUGAAUUUCCCAGUGAGUAGAGGGAAAAUCAAAUUAACCUGUGUUCAGUAGUCCUCAAGCCACCCAGACUGUUGGGUUGCUCCAAUGGCAAGACUUUUUCUCCAUGUUCCAGUUCCAGUUUGGAAACUUUGAAGUGUUUGAGUGGUAAUGCUCUAUUAACAAAGAAAUGUAGAGGGAAUAAAUCAGCCUUGGAAAUAUUUCA